RNAcentral lists this unclassified non-coding RNA (293 nucleotides) under uncultured fungus. RNAcentral's name for it is "sequence contains ITS1, 5.8S rRNA gene". The stretch from base 245 to 293 matches the Rfam family "5.8S ribosomal RNA", at positions 1 to 49 of the family's 154-position model. Lineage: Eukaryota; Fungi. The record is from RNAcentral.
UUUCUGUAGGUGAACCUGCAGAAGGAUCAUUAGUGAAGAUUUGGGCAGGCCAUACGGACGCCAAAAAAGUGUCCCUGGCCGCCUACACCCACUAUACAUCCACAAACCCGUGUGCACUGUCUUGGAGAAAGGCUUCUUGAGAAGUUAUGUGACCUCUCUUGGAGGUCUUUCUUCGCUACAAACUCGAAUGGUUAGUAUGAACGUGGAACUUGGUUGGACCGUCACUGGCCAACAAACUAUACACAACUUUCGACAACGGAUCUCUUGGUUCUACCAUCGAUGAAGAACGCAGC